This 253-nucleotide ribosomal RNA is filed under the name uncultured bacterium. Its description in RNAcentral is "partial 16S ribosomal RNA". It matches the Rfam family "Bacterial small subunit ribosomal RNA", at positions 524 to 776 of the family's 1533-position model. The record is from RNAcentral.
UACAGAGACUGCGAGCGUUAUUCGGAUUCACUGGGCGUAAAGGGUGCGCAGGCGGUUGGGUGUGUCAGAUGUGAAAUCCCGAGGCUCAACCUCGGAACUGCGUCUGAAACUACUCGACUAGAGUACUGGAGAGGGUAACGGAAUUCACGGUGUAGCAGUGAAAUGCGUAGAUAUCGUGAGGAAUACCAGAGGCGAAGGCGGCUACCUGGACAAUUGCUGACGCUCAGGCACGAAAGCGUGGGGAGCAAAAGGG